AAACCGCUUAGGGGUUAAGCCCGAUGAACCUGAAUAUCUGAAUUGAGAAAUUCAAUAUUAUGUCGUUGAUUUUUAAACAAAAUUAAUGACUGGUAUGCACUUUUCUCAUAGUAAGACAUUGCGAUCCAUUAGAAAAUUUAUCAUACGGCUCGUGUGUAUCGUUUAUUCUAUCUGUAAUAAUUUUUUCAAUUUGUUAUAUGAGUAAAUACGUUGCGAUGACCUGAUAAAUAGCUGAUGGAGCUUAACAAUCAUACAACCAUACAUGCUAUGUAUCACAAUUGUAGAGAAUUUUUUCUUUAUAAUGUACAGUGAUUGUAUGUAUUUGAUUAGCAAUGCGAUAGAUUUGGGAUACCUUCGGGACCCGUCUUGAAACACGGACCAAGAAGUCUAACAUGUGUGCAAGUCAUUGGGUAUAUUGUUUAAAACCUAAAGGCGCAAUUAAAAUAACUAUUUUAAUGGGAUUACAAGUAAUUUGAAAAGAUUACUUCUCCAUCCCGGGGCGUUCUAUAUGAACAUGAUUUAAGCAAUUAGGUCCUCUGUUCGAGAGCGUACCUUGAGCAUACAUGCUGUGACCCGAAAGAUGGUGAACUAUACCUGAUCAGGUUGAAGUCAGGGGAAACCCUGAUGGAGGACUGAAGCAGUUCUGACGUGCAAAUCGAUUGUCAGAAUUGGGUAUAGGGGCGAAAGACCAAUCGAACCAUCUAGUAGCUGGUUCCCUCCGAAGUUUCCCUCAGGAUAGCUGGUGCAAUGAUAAAUCUACAUAUGUAAUCUCGUCUGGUAAAGCGAAUGAUUAGAGGCCUUGGGGCCGAAACGACCUCAACCUAUUCUCAAACUUUAAAUGGGCGAGAACCUCAUCUUUCUUGAUCUGAAGAUAUAGAGGUUUAGAUAUAUUGUGCCCAGUGGGCCACUUUUGGUAAGCAGAACUGGCGCUGUGGGAUGAACCAAACGUGAUGUUACGGCGCCAAAAUUAAUGACUCAUAUUGAUACCAUGAAAGGCGUUGGUUGCUUAAAACAGCAGGACGGUUGACACGGAAGUUGUAAUCCGCUAAGGAGUGUGUAACAACUCACCUGCCGAAGCAACUAGCCCUUAAAAUGGAUGGCGCUCAAGUCAUAUGCCUAUACAUCACCGCUAGAAUAUAAAAAUUUUCAAUAAUUUAUUUUGAAAAUUUAUCAAAUUCUAGUGAGUAGGAGGGUACAAUGGUGUGCGCAGAAGUGUUUGGCGUGAGCCUGCAUGGAGCCGCCAUUGGCACAGAUCUUGGUGGUAGUAGCAAAUAAUCGAAUGAGAUCUUGGAGGACUGAAGUGGAGAAGGGUUUCGUGUGAACAGUGGUUGAUCACGAGUUAGUCGGUCCUAAGCUCUAUGCGAAAGCUGUUUAAUUUAUGUU
RNAcentral lists this ribosomal RNA (1383 nucleotides) under unidentified. RNAcentral describes it as "Setostylus sp. NB-2020 partial 28S ribosomal RNA". It matches the Rfam family "Eukaryotic large subunit ribosomal RNA", at positions 402 to 1578 of the family's 3401-position model. The record is from RNAcentral.